AGAAUUAAAUAAUAAAUAAAAAGCCUCCUACACAAGGCUGUAGAAACCCUGCUGCACCAUUAAUAAUGCGACGCAACCCUGGUCUCAUUAACAGGAGCCUUUCAGCAGGAAUUCAUCCAAGUCACCUCCAGAAGUGCCUUUCUGAGCCAGGGAGCAGCCCUGCAGCCCUCUCCAGACCAGUUUCUAGAGUCUAGACCUGCACUCUGCAGCCCAUUAGGUGCACCCAGCCCUGGAAGCCCCUUCGCAAGGUGAUGCCAGGACAACUUAUUGAGGAAGUGAAGCAAGGUAUGCCCUAGAGACCUGCUGGUGUGGCCUUAAAGAAUAAUCAUCCAUCAGCCCCCAUGCAACCCAAAUAACAGCCUCUUCUCCAGUCUGGUGGAGGACAGCAGGACAAAAUAGCUCCUGGA
This 407-nucleotide long non-coding RNA is filed under the name Cairina moschata (Muscovy duck). Its description in RNAcentral is "domestica (muscovy Duck (domestic type)) lncRNA (ENSCMMG00000002103.1)". The record is from RNAcentral. Lineage: Eukaryota; Metazoa; Chordata; Aves; Anseriformes; Anatidae.